AUAAUUCAGAGGCCAUGAAUAAUUCUUUUAUGCCUCUAAAUUUGUUACCACUAGUGCAUCAACACUCUCGUAACCAUCCUCAUUUAAGGAAACCACAAUCUAGAAAAAAUCACCCCUAAUGCCUCUAUAGGGAUAAUCCUCAUUGAAGUGAUUGAUUUUAUGAAAAGUGAAACAUUUUAAAUUUCACUUAUCAAAACCUUUGGACUUGUACCUUGACCUAUAUUUCUUCCACUUUUGCUUUCUUCUACCUUCCACUUUUGCUUU
Molecule: long non-coding RNA, 264 nt
Filed under: Lathyrus oleraceus (garden pea)
Lineage: Eukaryota; Viridiplantae; Streptophyta; Magnoliopsida; Fabales; Fabaceae
Description: Pisum sativum (pea) long non-coding RNA (PSAT_LNC020155)
Source: RNAcentral